GAAAUGCGAUAAGUAGUGUGAAUUGCAGAAUUCAGUGAAUCAUCGAAUCUUUGAACGCACAUUGCGCCCCUUGGUAUUCCAUGGGGCAUGCCUGUUCGAGCGUCAUUUGUACCCUCAAGCUCUGCUUGGUGUUGGGUGUUUGUCCCCGUCUCCGCGCGUGGACUCGCCCCAAAGUCAUUGGCAGCCGGCGUACUGGUCCCGGAGCGCAGCACAUGUCGCGCAAACGAGUGCCUUGGUACGGCGGCGUCCAUAAGCCCCUCUCUCACGCUCUUGACCUCGGAUCAGGUAGGGAUACCCGCUGAACUUAAGC
This 310-nucleotide unclassified non-coding RNA is filed under the name plant metagenome. RNAcentral describes it as "partial contains 5.8S ribosomal RNA, internal transcribed spacer 2, and large subunit ribosomal RNA". The stretch from base 1 to 105 matches the Rfam family "5.8S ribosomal RNA", at positions 50 to 154 of the family's 154-position model. The record is from RNAcentral.